AUUUACCAAUUUAAAAGCUCUUUGUAUUAUAAUGGUCUUUUUUCACAGACUGUGAUGAUGCAUUUCCACAGUUAUUAACAUGGUAAAUCUACCAAAGUUUGUGUUUAUAUAUAUGAAUGAUAAUUCCCCUGUUUGAUUCUAGCUAUUCAUAAAAUGCCUAAAAUAGCAUGACCCUAACAUAAGCCAUAUUUUAUUAAAUUUUUUAGUCACCAAAUAUAAUUGUGAAACUUUUCAGCAAUUUUAUAAUAUUCACUUAUAUAAGAAAACAUGAAAAAUGUUUAGAAUUAUUCUGAGUGCCCUUAUUGAGUAUUUAGGUAUUGAAUGUGAUGCUGGAGAUUGUAUAAUUAUUUUUCAAUUUUCUUCAGUAUAAAGUGUUUUAUCAUUCACAUUUUUGUGUUGAAAUAGAUUAGCCUAUCCCCUGUAUGUCACUGAUGCACUACUACAAAGAUGUGAGGACAAGAAAAUACACCUGCGAGUAGUCUUGGACAUUGCCUGUGUUGUUGCCUCACAUUUGCAGAAAUCAGGGGAGGGCAUAUCACACAACAUCUCCUUAGUCGUACCAGCAUUUCAUGUUUAUGGACACAAAUGGCCCUGCCAGAUCAAGUACAGUACCAGAUGGCUUGAUGGGUUUGGCCUCACAGACGGGGAAGGAAUGGAAAGGCUGUGGUCUUUCCUCCAAAGAUUUGCCAGAGUCACAAAGGAGAUGACUCCAUCUCAUCACUUUUGACCUACUGACUGAUGCCCUUUUUGCAUUAUGGACGGAGGAAAUCAACUGACCUAGAGGUGCAGCUCCUGCAAAGAGUAGACAAAGCAGAGAAAAUAUUGCUCAAGAAGAUAUCUCAUCUGUCAUCAGAGAGGCAUCAGUGUUGAUUUCUGAAGGAGACAUGGAGAAAUGGAAAAAAGCUAGCCCAACAGAAACCAAUAAACACUGUCUGUAGAUGGAAAAGGGACUACAUCAUCAGACUGAUUCAGUUCUACAAGUUCAAAUAUUAGAAUUGAGGACUCUGCUGAACAUUGAGAAAAACUACCGUAUUGGGAGAAGAUGGCAAGAGUCUGAUUCAAACUUCCAGUCUACCCUUAAAGAUGUGGACCAUGAGCUCAGAGUCCAACUGCAAGGCUAGAACUGAAUCAAGGGAGAGAGCAGUCGUCCUCCACCUGAGAAGAAUAUAUCCAGCUUUGCUUCAGAUGGGCAGGGCAUUGUCAUUAGACUCUCCAAGCAGGUAGCCAGCUCCAACAAUAGACUGAGACAGCAUUCAAUAGUCACCGCAGUUGAGCUUCUUACCUGCGACAAUUGAUUUUCAGGAAUCAUGUGAUCCCUCUUGGCAUGUCUACUUCUGCUUUGAUGACACUAUUGAAGAAGAUGAUGUUUCGAGGAGUCUAAAGGGAUUGAUGCCUUACAUAUGAAGACUCAUGCAAAAGCUGCUCUCAUUCAACGCUUCCAACAGCUGGAAAGAAAACUACAUCAAGCCAUUGUGAUGUUUCACCCACAUGUAUCAGACUUUGUUCCUGCAGACAACCCCCACUUGUGUCAGGCCCUCCCCAUGCCAAGCAUACAGACACUGGUAUACAAUGAUAAGAGUGAUAAUGAUGACAAUGUGGAUAACUAGCACUACAGAUUUUUUUUUACAUUUCUAGUCUGAUAUUGUAUUCUGUAAAAAGAAUGAUGUAAAAUGUAUAGUAUAUGUUGCAGCAUAUUAUAGAAACCUUUAUGGUGGUGUAAUAUAAUGUUCGCCUUACUUGUGCAAACAUGAUGUUUUACUAGAUCUGAUUUAUUAUUAAACGUAGGUACUGUUUUUAAGCACACAUAUUCACACUAGUCUGUGUGAGGACAAAAUUGUGUGUUUACCAUUGUGAUGUUACUUAUUUACUGUAAUGUACAAAUGUGGUCAAUGUG
This is a non-coding RNA of Misgurnus anguillicaudatus (oriental weatherfish), 1894 nucleotides long. The record is from RefSeq and is a predicted model, not a curated record. NCBI's taxonomy places the organism in Eukaryota, Metazoa, Chordata, Actinopteri, Cypriniformes, Cobitidae.